CUAGGGCUCCUGGUGUUUCUGAGGAAAGAUGGGCAUUGACUUACAAUUAACAGGGGUUGUCAGCACUCUACGCACCCAAGCUAAGUGCAAACUCGCGCCUUUGAUAGUAGCUGAGAUCUUCCGUGCUCUCACAACUUGCAAGGCCGGGAAAGAUUUCUUUGAGGGGUGCAAUUUGUUGUUGCAAAUGUGGAUAACCGAACAUCUAUGCCACCGUCCUGAGUUUAUGAGCGAUGGUUCAGCGGAGAAAACUUGUAUAACGG
This 260-nucleotide long non-coding RNA is filed under the name Nicotiana benthamiana. RNAcentral describes it as "long non-coding RNA (NBEN_LNC042302)". Lineage: Eukaryota; Viridiplantae; Streptophyta; Magnoliopsida; Solanales; Solanaceae. The record is from RNAcentral.